Molecule: ribosomal RNA, 777 nt
Filed under: uncultured Neocallimastigales
Lineage: Eukaryota; Fungi; Neocallimastigomycota; Neocallimastigomycetes; Neocallimastigales
Description: partial large subunit ribosomal RNA
Rfam family: Eukaryotic large subunit ribosomal RNA
Source: RNAcentral
UACGACUACAUAUCAGGCAUAUCAAUAAGCGGAGGAAAAGAAACUAACAAGGAUUCCCUUAGUAACGGCGAGUGAAGCGGGAAGAGCUCAAAUUUGAAAUCUUCAAGGUUUUACCUUGACGAAUUGUAGUUUAAAGAAGUGUUUUCUGUUGAAGUUUCGGUAAAAGUUCUUUGGAAUAGGACAUCAUAGAGGGUGAGAAUCCCGUAUUUGACCGUUAUUUUCAGCUGUGUGAUACACUUUCAAAGAGUCGGAUUGUUUGGGAAUGCAGUCCAAAAUGGGUGGUAAAUUUCAUCUAAAGCUAAAUAUUGGCGAGAGACCGAUAGCGAACAAGUACCGUGAGGGAAAGAUGAAGAGAACUUUGAAAAGAGAGUUAAACAGUACGUGAAAUUGUCAAAAGGGAAGCGUUUGACACCAGUGUUGUUUUCUCGAAAAUCAAUUAAAAAUAAAUUUGAUUUUGUGUUGUAUUGACCUUAAAAGCUUUCUUCACUUUUUUCAUGUUUAUUUUUAAUGCACUUUUCGUUUAACAAGUCAACAUCAGUUUCUUUUGUUGUAAAAAGGUCAUUGGAAGGUGGCUUUCUUUUCGGAGAAAGUGUUUAUAGCCUUUGACUCCUGCAAUCGGAGAGACUGAGGUCUGCAGCGUAGAUCCUUCUGGAUUAGAUUCAUUUGUGCUAAGUUAUAGCCUUUUCAUAGACAACUUGUUGACUAUAUUUAGUCAUGUAGCUUACUCGCUUAUGUAAUUUUACCUACGCUUAGGAUGUUGAACGCGCACAGAGUCUC